UAGCGGAAUGCAAGUUAAACUCUUCCACUCAAAUCGAUGUCUUCUCUACUUGCCCGUCUCUGUUCCGUGAUCUCCCUCCCUGCCCAGCUCUUCCUAACGGCUCAAUGACUUUAAGCCCAAUCAAUUUUUUGAGCCCAUAAUAUAUAAUAUAUAAUAUACAUCUAUAUCCAAUAUUAUAUGCAUGAAUAUAUAUAUAUAUAUAUAUAUACGCGUGAAUUGCAUGGUGCUCACAGUUAUUAGGGGAGGUCAAAGAGCUGAAAGAUUCCACUUGUUUCCCACCUGCAUUAACAAAAUCGAGCUCAUACUUGCCUUUUAUCUGGGGACAAAGGACUUCACAAAGUCCGUGUGCAUCAAUAUUAAGAGCUCCCAUACACCUUUCUUUCCGUUCUUAUCUGUCAGAUCCGGAAGUGACGAGGCAUUGCUUGCCCUUUGUCCUGUGAUCCAUGACAUGACAGCGAAUGCAAGCGUGGAAGAAUGGAAUGCCUCAAGGUGUAUCUCUCGUCUCUAUAUACAAGAUGAAACAGGGAUCGAGGGGACUGAAUUCUUGCACUCUGAAGGUUCGAGCCAAUGAGCUUAUCUUUCUUGGAGGUUUCGAUAAGCUUCUAGCUACACAGGAGAACUUUUUGGACAUCAGGGAUCAGCUCAGAGGAUUACGUAGAAACCUUAAUUAUUAGAUAGGUAUUCUUUUUGUAUAGAAAAUAUUUGAAUAUAUAUGUUACGAGCUGAAAUUUUUAUUUAGUUGGUUUAGUGGUGUGGCUCUCUUAAAAUGUAUAUAUAUGUAUAUGAGAGUUUACUGGUUUGGUUAUAUAUUUUGAGAGUUAUGGAAAGCAAGUUUUAUAUGAAUAGUUUAUGUGAUAAUGGAUAUCGAGGAAAUAUAGGCGGAGUUCAGCUGAAAUUUCGAGUCGUGACAGUUUCCGAAAGCAUUCUCAGGUGUUUGGUGAAAGCAAGA
Punica granatum (pomegranate) is the source of this 949-nucleotide non-coding RNA. Lineage: Eukaryota; Viridiplantae; Streptophyta; Magnoliopsida; Myrtales; Lythraceae. The record is from RefSeq and is a predicted model, not a curated record.